Molecule: non-coding RNA, 118 nt
Organism: Podarcis lilfordi (Lilford's wall lizard)
Lineage: Eukaryota; Metazoa; Chordata; Lepidosauria; Squamata; Lacertidae
Source: the annotation of a GenBank genome assembly
UGUCCAGUAGCACCAUAGAGACCAACUAAAUUUGUUCUUGGUAUGAGCUUUCAUGUGCAUGCACAAGAAAGCUCAUACCAAGAACAAACUUAGUUGGUCUCUAAGGUGCUACUGGACU